Molecule: small RNA, 338 nt
Filed under: Pan troglodytes (chimpanzee)
Lineage: Eukaryota; Metazoa; Chordata; Mammalia; Primates; Hominidae
Description: retained intron
Source: RNAcentral
AAAAACCCUCAGCUCUUUCAUCUCUACCCAUCUAACCCCUAAUUGCAACUGUGAUCCACCCUUCUGAAGUAACAGUAUGACUAAAUAUACUGAGAAGCUCGAAGAGAUUAAGAAAAAUUAUAGAUACAAAAAAGAUGAGCUUUUCAAGAGACUAAAAGUUACAACUUUUGCCCAGCUGGUAAGUUUCUUGAUCUUUCCACUGCAGUAAAGACUGUCUAAUUUGUGCCACUUUAUGUAUUUCUAAAUUCAACUCUAGGGAAAGUUUGCAGAGGAGUUUCUUCUGAUUCUUUGUAUGUCGUUCAGCUAUGGGAAGAUUAAUUGGUAUGUGGUGUGUGUGU